AUUCUACGGCCCGGCUCUGCUCCUGGCCCAGGCGCCCGUGUCCGGUGCGGUCCCAUACGAGAUGGGUUCUCUGCCUUCGGUGCGUGUCGGCGCCUCUGCCAAGGCGGAGCGGACGGCGAAAGGUAGACCCAGCGCAUCUCCAGCUUCACGAGACUCACGCGGCCUUCCGUGGGCCGUAAUCGUCUGUCUCCCUCUGUGGCCGAAGUGACACACCGAAGCGAGUAAAAAGCUAAUUCCUAGAACAGUGUGAUGCACCCGGCCCUCCGUUGGCUUCCCGUGCCCUUUGUAGCUAAAUUUGGAAAAUCCUGAGUUUCUCAAAGUCCAAGAACUUUAUAAUGUGCACUGCUAGGCUAAUACCUUUACAACGAAUGCCCCCCAGCUUCCCUGAAUCGGAAUGUGAAAGUGACACACUGAAAACCAAGGCUAAGGGUUCUGUCCUUUCUUUCACGUGUUAAAAUGGUGGCAUCUUUUUAAUGCGCGAGGGAAAACGCAACAACAAUAAUAAAACACUCCUCCCAAAUCCUGAACAUUCAGUUAUGUCCAGAAAAUUGGGAUGAAGAUAGGACUUUGCUUUACCGCUCUGUACUGCGUUCGGGUUUUUUGUUUGUUCGGUUUGUUGUUUGGUUUUUGGUUUAGUUUGGUUCGUUUGUUUUCCAGAAAGGCCGAAAGCCAUCGUGACGUCGAGGCACAAGCUCCACUGUCCUAACAGUAGAGGUCGCAUGGAGUUCGUGAGACGGGCAUUAGCUGCCGCUGGAGCUGUACCCAGCCCACCGUAUUUUCACAAAUUAGCCAGACAAUACGCCUUCUCUUCGCAUCACUACUGGUCCGGGUCAGCCAUAAGAUCCUUCCUGUUAGGGACUUUUCUUUGAACUAAGAUGUAAUUAACGGGAUUCAUUACCCCUUUUAAGUUACCCUUGGUUUCUACGAGGGAUAACAGGUAAUAAGGACAAAGGGAAGUAAUGUAAAUUUUGUCAGUUUUAUUGAUUAUACACCCUCUAGGUGAAUUUUCUGUACCUGCGUUGCACGGUUGGAAGCCUUGUUUCCUGGCCUGCGAGUGCAAGUUUUGCUUUUGUUCUAUUCUUCAGCUUCCUGUGGAGAUUUUCAGAUACAAGCAAACAAAACAUUGCAUAACUCUGUGUGCAGCCCUUACCCGGAUGUGUGCAGCUUUAGGGUGUGCUUGGUAUGUCUCCUGCCUCCUCUUGGUUUGUGGGAGUCUUUCCUCCUAACAUAGUUUCAUAUGGGAGUGCCACGAUUUGGUAUUUAUUUCCAACGGGUAAAGGUUAUCACACCCACCAAAAAAUCUGCAAGGCUUUAUCCUCAAAGCAGUCUGUCUCAUGCGGAGUUUUUACUAAUGUGUCUCGGUGCUGCUCUAAACAAGGUCUGUAGACUUUACACUAUGAAUAACUUGAGAUUUAUAAAAAUGUUGUAAAGUUGAACCUCAGAGCCCUCAGUCCUCCCGGGUGCUAACGCCUUACAUAACCAUGAUAAACUGAGAAGAAAAGUGUUACUGGUGUGCAAGUAAAUGGGCAGCAGACUUAAUUAUGAUUUCAGUGUUUCUACUAAAGUCCUCUUACCAAUCCAGUAUCCCACAGUGUAUCUAGUCAUGUUUCCUCAGUUUCCCCAAGGCUAGGAUGGUUUCUCAGCCUUUUCCUUGUUUCAACCCCUUGACGUAAUUAUUGAGACCAUCAAUGAGGAUUCUCUGGGAAUAAUUCCCGCCUCCCCCACCUUGUCCUUGGCUCUUGAGUCUAGUCCCUUAUCUCACAGAAAGUCCUAUGCCUUGGAUAUGCCCGAUUUCUACCUUGUGAUUGGGGGAACUGUUUGUGUUGGUUUAUUUGUGGUUUGGUUGGUUGGUUGGUUGUUGUUGUUGUUGUUGUUUUAACAGGUGUUUCUUUGCUUUUCUCAAUGUCACAGCAGGAGGAACAGGAUAUCCAAAUGACCUCCUUGGAAAACAAUGGUUAAGGAGCACUGGGACUCUGACAGGACCUGGGUUCUCUCCGACCCCUUUAUUCCCCAUGCCCACUGCCCCACAUGUGUGUACACAUGUGCUUCUGCUUGUGAGCACGCAGGAGUUCAUUGUAGAGGGCAUCUCCCUUACCUGUUGUCUCUCUUUGAUUUAAAAAAAAAAAAUCUAUUCUUACAAACCCCUAUAUAUACAUGUUGCCUGACUUAAAGUCAGGUCUGGGUUACUGCCAUCAGUCCCAAUGUUCACAGAAAUGGGAAACGAGAGGGGUGGACCAGUGGGGACAACCUGUAACUUGGACUUCUUAGAUCACUCCUGUCCCUCCCAAGACACCUAGGACUCAUCGGGUCUAAUUUAGUCUAGGAGGUGUGUUUCUAGAUGCAUCCCUGGAGUACAGUGAAUGCAAGCCAAGAAAUAAUUUUUUCUUCCCAAUUUCAUGGUCUCAUCCUGACCUACAGCAGAUAAGUAAGGAUGAUUCCAUUUCUGUAUUCUCUCGAGCCCAUCCCCCUCUCCCUGCCGUAGAGUCGGGAGUACCCUUUUUUUUUUUUCUUCUCAAGACAGGGUUUCUCUGUAUCACCCUGGCUGUCCUGGAACUCACUCUAAAGUACCCUCUUAAUUAACCAUGCUUAGAGAGGAAUAAAAGGACAAGACCAGAGUUUCAGCUACCUUGGAUUCUGCACCGACUCAGGAUCACAGUCAGUUUGUGUGAGGUCACCAGUUUAUACCAAACAGGUUUCAAGGGGCCACGGACAGAACUGUCUUGGUCAGAAUCAGCUGAGUCUUGCAGACAUGAUUCUACUCCAGACCGUUUUGUCUCUAGAAGAGAAACUUGCAAACAUUCUGCCUUCCUUUUCUUUUCUUUGGGAAAGUAAAUGCUGUGUUAGAAGUUUGGACCAGAAUUCUCGGACUUCACCAUCUAUGGAUGCUUCGCUUUUGAUGUGUUUGCCUGUUUAUAAUCUAUUUUAUUUAUUUUGGAAGAUUUUCAUUAAUAAAAAGUAAUGAAGACAUAGCCUUGGGAUUUCUUUUUUCUGGCCCUCAGAUCAGAUUCUUAGAUCACUGGCAAAUGAAAAGAGGUUUCCUGUUAGUUUUGUUCGUAACUGUACUCACCGGAACAAAGUCUAUACACAGUUUGCCAGUGGGGACGUGUCCCAGCAAUACCUACAAGGGUGAGGCGCUUCUCAUACAAAUCUCAGAAUAGACUAAUAACAGGGAGGGAACGCCAGCAACCAGAGCAGUCAUCAUCAGGGUGUGACUGCCGGUUUCAGAAACAAUUUCCUUCUUAUAUUGAAUAUUUCCCAGACCAGGGGCUUAAUGGUUCAACCAUUAAGAGCACUGGCUGCUCUUCCAGAGGUCCUGAGUUCAAUUCUCAACACCCACAUGGCAGCUCACAAAUAUCUAUAAUUAUAGUACUAUGGGAUCUGAUGCCCUCUUCUGGAGUGCAGAAACAAAACACCCAUAUACAUAAAAUGAAUAAAAGAAAUAAAGAAAAUGUCCAGGCCCAAGUUCUGACAACAGGUAAGGAGUACCCUACAUAUUGUUCUGUCUCCUUUCAAGAAAAAUCUAUGGAAAUUUUUGUGUAAUUUGGUAAUCUCUGGAAAGACUGAUCAUAGAAUUUUAUUUUAUAUUACUACUACUACUAUUGUUGGUUGUUUUGUUUUUGAGACAAAGUCUUACUAUGUAGACAAGGUUAGU
RNAcentral lists this long non-coding RNA (3652 nucleotides) under Mus musculus (house mouse). RNAcentral describes it as "long non-coding RNA chr9:78175913-78179565". Lineage: Eukaryota; Metazoa; Chordata; Mammalia; Rodentia; Muridae. The record is from RNAcentral.